This 607-nucleotide ribosomal RNA is filed under the name Uncinaria lucasi. RNAcentral's name for it is "eukaryotic LSU rRNA". It matches the Rfam family "Eukaryotic large subunit ribosomal RNA", at positions 1287 to 1849 of the family's 3401-position model. Lineage: Eukaryota; Metazoa; Nematoda; Chromadorea; Rhabditida; Ancylostomatidae. The record is from RNAcentral.
AACUCACCUGCCGAAUCAACUAGCCCUGAAAAUGGAUGGCGCUUGAGCGAGGGACCUAUACCCAGCCGUUGCUGGCUUGUGCGUUGUCUAGCGCCUGGCCGCAACGAGUAGGAGGGUCGUGGCGGUUGCGUCGAAGGCUUUGGGCGUAGGCCCAGCUGGAGCUUCCGUCAGUGCAGAUCUCGGUGGUAGUAGCAAAUAUUUAAGUUCGAUCCUUGAAGACUGAAGUGGAGAAGGGUUCCACGUGAACAGUAGUUGAAUGUGGGUCAGUCGAUCCUAAGAUACUGGCUUAUGCCUUGUAUCACUGAGAGGGAAAAGUUUCUUUUCUCUCGGAUAUCAAAAGGGAAUAGGGUUAAUAUUCCCUAACGCAGACACAGAGAUUGCGGCUCUUUGAGUCGCUUGCGCGGUAACGCAUUCGAACUUGGUUACGUCGCUCAGAGACCGAGCUAGAGUUCUCUUCUCUAGUUAAGGAACGGACUCCCUGGAAUCGGUUCAGCCGUAGAUAGGGACGUUGUUUCCGUAAAGCAUCGCGGUUUCUGUGAUGUCUCGUGUUCUUUGGACGGCCCUUGAAAAACCAAGGAAGGCUAUCAAUCUGUGCUGCAUCGUACCG